GACGAACGCUGGCGGCGUGCUUAACACAUGCAAGUCGAACGGAAAGGCCCUGCUUUUGUGGGGUGCUCGAGUGGCGAACGGGUGAGUAACACGUGAGUAACCUGCCCUUGACUUUGGGAUAACUUCAGGAAACUGGGGCUAAUACCGGAUAGGAGCUCCUGCUGCAUGGUGGGGGUUGGAAAGUUUCGGCGGUUGGGGAUGGACUCGCGGCUUAUCAGCUUGUUGGUGGGGUAGUGGCUUACCAAGGCUUUGACGGGUAGCCGGCCUGAGAGGGUGACCGGCGACAGUGGGACUGAGAUACGGCCCAGACUCCUACGGGAGGCAGCAGGGGGGAAGAUGGCAGAAUGGGCGGAAGUCUGAUGCAGCAACGCCGCGUGCGGGAUGACGGCCUUCGGGUUGGAAACCGCUUUCGCCUGUGACGAAGCGUGAGUGACGGUAAUGGGUAAAGAAGCACCGGCUAACUACGUG
This 468-nucleotide ribosomal RNA is filed under the name uncultured bacterium. RNAcentral describes it as "partial 16S ribosomal RNA". It matches the Rfam family "Bacterial small subunit ribosomal RNA", at positions 28 to 507 of the family's 1533-position model. The record is from RNAcentral.